AGCGAACGCUGGCGGCAUGCCUAACACAUGCAAGUCGAACGAGCCCUUCGGGGUUAGUGGCGCACGGGUGCGUAACGCGUGGGAAUCUGCCCUUUGCUUCGGAAUAACUCAGGGAAACUUGUGCUAAUACCGGAUGAUGUCUUCGGACCAAAGAUUUAUCGGCAAGGGAUGAGCCCGCGUAGGAUUAGGUAGUUGGUGGGGUAAAGGCCUACCAAGCCGACGAUCCUUAGCUGGUCUGAGAGGAUGAUCAGCCACACUGGGACUGAGACACGGCCCAGACUCCUACGGGAGGAAGCAGUGGGGAAUAUUGGACAAUGGGCGCAAGCCUGAGCCAGCAAUGCCGCGUGAGUGAUGAAGGCCCUCGGGUCGUAAAGCUCUUUUACCAGGGAUGAUAAUGACAGUACCUGGAGAAUAAGCUCCGGCUAACUCCGUG
Molecule: ribosomal RNA, 433 nt
Filed under: uncultured bacterium
Lineage: Bacteria
Description: partial 16S ribosomal RNA
Rfam family: Bacterial small subunit ribosomal RNA
Source: RNAcentral